UGUUUAAUGUAGCCAGCGUAAGCUGAGAGUCCAAAGCCUCUAUAAAUACAGAUGGAACA
The submitters of this non-coding RNA (59 nucleotides) gave its source as unclassified sequences. The record is from Rfam.